UCCUGACAGGCUGCGUUUUUUCCCUCUCUUAUUCUUCUUCGUUGAAAACGGUUUGCUCACAGAGGAGGAUGCAGCUUCUGUUGAAGGUUCCAAAGGUUUGGACGAUGUGGAUCCGGAUUCAGAUCCACUAACUGUGUUUCUUCUAAGCUUCAAAAGCGACUUGAUUUGUUCUUCGAGGUCUCCGAGUUGGAACUCUGAUUCAAGUUUGUGGCACGAUAUGCAUUUAAUGGCGGCUCUAAGUGCUCUAACUUGUCUGUCUAUGGCUGCAACCUGUAAAAUAUGCUUUGUGUUACAACUUGCAACAAUCUCUAUUUGAGUUUUAUUGUGAUACAAAAAGUUGAGAACAAAGAAACGGCUUAAAUUUCACCUGCUUUGCAGAUUCGUUA
Long non-coding RNA from Arabidopsis lyrata subsp. lyrata, 386 nucleotides. RefSeq lists it as uncharacterized. NCBI's taxonomy places the organism in Eukaryota, Viridiplantae, Streptophyta, Magnoliopsida, Brassicales, Brassicaceae. The record is from RefSeq and is a predicted model, not a curated record. The transcript has 2 exons.